UUGAACGCUGGCGGCAUGCCUUACCCAUGCCAGUCGAACGGUAACGGGCCUUCGGGUGCCGACGAGUGGCGAACGGGUGAGUAAUACAUCGGAACGUGCCCGAUCGUGGGGGAUAACGAGGCGAAAGCUUUGCUAAUACCGCAUACGAUCUACGGAUGAAAGCAGGGGACCGCAAGGCCUUGCGCGGACGGAGCGGCCGAUGGCAGAUUAGGUAGUUGGUGGGAUAAAAGCUUACCAAGCCGACGAUCUGUAGCUGGUCUGAGAGGAUGAUCAGCCACACUGGGACUGAGACACGGCCCAGACUCCUACGGGAGGCAGCAGUGGGGAAUUUUGGACAAUGGGCGCAAGCCUGAUCCAGCCAUGCCGCGUGCAGGAUGAAGGCCUUCGGGUUGUAAACUGCUUUUGUACGGAACGAAAAGCCUUCUUUUAAUACAGGAGGGUCAUGACGGUACCGUAAGAAUAAGCACCGGCUAACUACGUG
RNAcentral lists this ribosomal RNA (481 nucleotides) under uncultured bacterium. Its description in RNAcentral is "partial 16S ribosomal RNA". It matches the Rfam family "Bacterial small subunit ribosomal RNA", at positions 30 to 507 of the family's 1533-position model. The record is from RNAcentral.